UCUAGAUAGAAAAUAGGUGCCCGUACCGCAAACCGACACAGGUAGUCAAGAUGAGAAUUCUAAGGUGAGCGAGCGAACUCUCGUUAAGGAACUCGGCAAAAUGACCCCGUAACUUCGGGAGAAGGGGGGCUCUUUAGGGUUAACGCCCAGAAGAGCCGCAGUGAAUAGGCCCAAGCGACUGUUUAUCAAAAACACAGGUCUCUGCUAAACCGUAAGGUGAUGUAUAGGGGCUGACGCCUGCCCGGUGCUGGAAGG
RNAcentral lists this ribosomal RNA (255 nucleotides) under Staphylococcus aureus. RNAcentral's name for it is "partial 23S ribosomal RNA". It matches the Rfam family "Bacterial large subunit ribosomal RNA", at positions 1622 to 1876 of the family's 2925-position model. Lineage: Bacteria; Bacillati; Bacillota; Bacilli; Caryophanales; Staphylococcaceae. The record is from RNAcentral.